RNAcentral lists this ribosomal RNA (1415 nucleotides) under Salmonella enterica. Its description in RNAcentral is "partial 23S ribosomal RNA". It matches the Rfam family "Bacterial large subunit ribosomal RNA", at positions 1404 to 2802 of the family's 2925-position model. Lineage: Bacteria; Pseudomonadati; Pseudomonadota; Gammaproteobacteria; Enterobacterales; Enterobacteriaceae. The record is from RNAcentral. RNAcentral also lists the same sequence under 1 other name.
GAAAGGCGUAGUCGAUGGGAAACGGGUUAAUAUUCCCGUACUUGGUGUUACUGCGAAGGGGGGACGGAGAAGGCUAUGUUGGCCGGGCGACGGUUGUCCCGGUUUAAGCGUGUAGGUGUGUGUUCCAGGUAAAUCCGGUUCACUUUAACACUGAGGCGUGACGACGAGGCACUACGGUGCUGAAGCAACAAAUGCCCUGCUUCCAGGAAAAGCCUCUAAGCAUCAGGUAACAUCAAAUCGUACCCCAAACCGACACAGGUGGUCAGGUAGAGAAUACCAAGGCGCUUGAGAGAACUCGGGUGAAGGAACUAGGCAAAAUGGUGCCGUAACUUCGGGAGAAGGCACGCUGACACGUAGGUGAAGUGAUUUACUCAUGGAGCUGAAGUCAGUCGAAGAUACCAGCUGGCUGCAACUGUUUAUUAAAAACACAGCACUGUGCAAACACGAAAGUGGACGUAUACGGUGUGACGCCUGCCCGGUGCCGGAAGGUUAAUUGAUGGGGUCAGCGCAAGCGAAGCUCCUGAUCGAAGCCCCGGUAAACGGCGGCCGUAACUAUAACGGUCCUAAGGUAGCGAAAUUCCUUGUCGGGUAAGUUCCGACCUGCACGAAUGGCGUAAUGAUGGCCAGGCUGUCUCCACCCGAGACUCAGUGAAAUUGAACUCGCUGUGAAGAUGCAGUGUACCCGCGGCAAGACGGAAAGACCCCGUGAACCUUUACUAUAGCUUGACACUGAACAUUGAGCCUUGAUGUGUAGGAUAGGUGGGAGGCUUUGAAGUGUGGACGCCAGUCUGCAUGGAGCCGACCUUGAAAUACCACCCUUUAAUGUUUGAUGUUCUAACGUGGACCCGUUACCCGGGUUGCGGACAGUGUCUGGUGGGUAGUUUGACUGGGGCGGUCUCCUCCUAAAGAGUAACGGAGGAGCACGAAGGUUGGCUAAUCCUGGUCGGACAUCAGGAGGUUAGUGCAAUGGCAUAAGCCAGCUUGACUGCGAGCGUGACGGCGCGAGCAGGUGCGAAAGCAGGUCAUAGUGAUCCGGUGGUUCUGAAUGGAAGGGCCAUCGCUCAACGGAUAAAAGGUACUCCGGGGAUAACAGGCUGAUACCGCCCAAGAGUUCAUAUCGACGGCGGUGUUUGGCACCUCGAUGUCGGCUCAUCACAUCCUGGGGCUGAAGUAGGUCCCAAGGGUAUGGCUGUUCGCCAUUUAAAGUGGUACGCGAGCUGGGUUUAGAACGUCGUGAGACAGUUCGGUCCCUAUCUGCCGUGGGCGCUGGAGAACUGAGGGGGGCUGCUCCUAGUACGAGAGGACCGGAGUGGACGCAUCACUGGUGUUCGGGUUGUCAUGCCAAUGGCACUGCCCGGUAGCUAAAUGCGGAAGAGAUAAGUGCUGAAAGCAUCUAAGCACGAAACUUGCCCCGA